CAGCCUCGGUGCAGAUCCAGGUGGAGCCGGUGGGCCGCUGGUUCGAGGCGUACAUCAAGAGGAGGAACAGGACCGCUUCAGCCUCUUUCCAGGAGCUGGAGGAGGAGCAGCAGUCCUCAGAGGAGUCGGAGGACGAGGAGUUCGUGCUGCAGGAAUACCCCAUGCUGCGGACCCUCGACCCCAAAGACUGGAAGAAUCAAGAUCACUAUUGUGUCCUCGGGCUUCCACACUUGAGGUACAAAGCCACGCAGAAACAGAUCAAAACCGCCCACAAAGGGAUUGUGUUGAAGCACCAUCCGGACAAGAGGAAAGCUGCAGGAGAGCAGAUUGGAGAGGGAGACAACGACUACUUCACCUGUAUAACUAA
Long non-coding RNA from Notothenia coriiceps (black rockcod), 367 nucleotides. RefSeq lists it as uncharacterized. Lineage: Eukaryota; Metazoa; Chordata; Actinopteri; Perciformes; Nototheniidae. The record is from RefSeq and is a predicted model, not a curated record. The transcript has 3 exons.